UCCCAGGAUGACUGUUGCCUCAGCAUUAA
Molecule: non-coding RNA, 29 nt
Filed under: Rattus norvegicus (Norway rat)
Lineage: Eukaryota; Metazoa; Chordata; Mammalia; Rodentia; Muridae
Source: RNAcentral